Procambarus clarkii (red swamp crayfish) is the source of this 746-nucleotide non-coding RNA. NCBI's taxonomy places the organism in Eukaryota, Metazoa, Arthropoda, Malacostraca, Decapoda, Cambaridae. The record is from RefSeq and is a predicted model, not a curated record.
UCUCCAACCCAGGGUGUCGACUGGAAAGUCUUCAACUGCCUCCCACCAUGAUAAGCUCCCGAGCCAAUGUUCCCUGUGGCGAAGUGAGGAAGUAGUUUCCUGAAGUAGCAUAUGGCAUGGUAUGGCACCGUUUCUAACCAGCGGCUGGCACCAACUCUGGCAAACGUCGUAGUGGAUGACGCCCAGAUCCUAUGGGGGAUGUCUACAUUAACAUGGAAAAGGUGGUAAUGAUUACAAUGGUAUCAAAGCAUUGACUGGCUUAAGAAAUGUGACUGUUGUACUGUCCAUCUGAAGCUGAUUGUGGAGGGUCCUUCCACCAUAACUUCAGGAACAGUGUAAAGAACUACCGGAAGUUACAUGCUACAGAAAGUAGCAUGGUUGUCAAUUAGAGGGCAAAAAAUAUGGAUUGGGAAGUCCCAAACAUCAUCCUAGAGUUUGAAGGUUGCUUCACAUUCAGAAUUAGGUGGCAAUGAUUACAAUGGUAUCAAAGCAUUGACUGGCUAAAGAAACGUGACUGUUCUGCUCUGCCCAUCUGAAGCUGAUUGUGGAGGAUCCUUCCAACAUAAGUUCAGGAACAGUGUAUAGAACAACUGCCGGAAGUUACAUGCUACAGAAAGUAGCAUGGUUGUCUAAAUUAGAGGGCAAAAAAUAUGGAUUGGGAAGUCCAGAACAUCAUCCUAGAGUUUGAAGGUGGUGUUUCACAUUCAGAAUUGGUGAGUGUGGCAGUAAAUAUUAUUUUAAACAGA